Molecule: ribosomal RNA, 461 nt
Filed under: uncultured bacterium
Lineage: Bacteria
Description: partial 16S ribosomal RNA
Rfam family: Bacterial small subunit ribosomal RNA
Source: RNAcentral
CCUACGGGGGGCAGCAGUGAGGAAUAUUGGUCAAUGGGCGGGAGCCUGAACCAGCCAAGUCGCGUGAGGGAAGACGGUCCUACGGAUCGUAAACCUCUUUUGCCGGGGAGCAACGGGGUCCUUGCGAGGGCCCAAUGAGAGUACCCGGAGAAAAAGCAUCGGCUAACUCCGUGCCAGCAGCCGCGGUAAUACGGAGGAUGCGAGCGUUAUCCGGAUUUAUUGGGUUUAAAGGGAGCGUAGGUGGAUUGUUAAGUCAGUUGUGAAAGUUUGCGGCUCAACCGUAAAAUUGCAGUUGAAACUGGCAGUCGUGAGUACAGUAGAGGUGGGCGGAAUUCGAGGUGUAGCGGUGAAAUGCUUAGAUAUCACGAAGAACUCCGAUUGCGAAGGCAGCUCACUGGACUGCAACUGACACUGAGGCUCGAAAGUGUGGGUAUCAAACAGGAUUAGAUACCCCAGUAGUC